RNAcentral lists this ribosomal RNA (466 nucleotides) under Betaproteobacteria bacterium. Its description in RNAcentral is "partial 23S ribosomal RNA". It matches the Rfam family "Bacterial large subunit ribosomal RNA", at positions 1 to 421 of the family's 2925-position model. Lineage: Bacteria; Pseudomonadati; Pseudomonadota; Betaproteobacteria. The record is from RNAcentral.
UUCAAGAUAUGAAGGGCGUACGAUGGAUGCCUUGGCAACAGGAGCCGAAGAAGGACGUGGGCGGCUGCGAUAAGCCGCGGGGAGGCGCUGACCAGCCUAUGAUCCGCGGAUUUCCGAAUGGGGGAACCCACGCGUCGUAAUGGGCGCGUAUCCCUGCCUGAACACAUAGGGCAGGAGAAGGCAAGCCGGUGAAGUGAAACAUCUCAGUAACCGGAGGAAAGGAAAGAAACCUCGACUCCCUGAGUAGUGGCGAGCGAAAAGGGAUCAGCCCAAACCGAGUUGAGUGUGAUUGCCUGCGGGCUUAGCUCAUCCGGGGUUGUAGGACCAGCAUGAUCGUGCCGCAGCGCGAUCGGGCAGUGAGAAAUCCUCUCGAUAGUCGAACGGCCUGGAAAGGCCGGCCACAGUGGGUAACAGCCCCGUAGGCGAAAUCCAGAGGACUGCCUCGUUGGCACCUGAGUACGGCCGG